Haemorhous mexicanus (house finch) is the source of this 3876-nucleotide long non-coding RNA. RefSeq lists it as uncharacterized. Lineage: Eukaryota; Metazoa; Chordata; Aves; Passeriformes; Fringillidae. The record is from RefSeq and is a predicted model, not a curated record. The transcript is spliced from 5 exons.
UACCGCCGCCGCGGGGGAGGCGCGGGGGCCGCCCGCCCUCCCGCCCCGCGAAACUCACCUCCCUUCCCCUCCGCUACCCCGCUUCCACCCUCACCGUCGCGCUUCGGAGCGGGUGCCGCCGCUGCCGCCGUCGGCACAGGCGGUUUUGACCUUUCAAUAGAGAGCUGAUUUUGGAGAACGGCUUACUCCUGUGAUUGAAAAACUCUCUGGAAGGUUGAUGGAGCAUGAGCAUGAACUGCAGUCUUGAACAGCAAUUAAAAAUCUCACUGUUACUUCAGGAGAAGAGCAGUCAAGAUAGCCCUGUUAAUUUCCAGAAGUUGUCUGUCAUGACUUGACUAGGAGGCUUAUUGCAAUGGAGUGGCAUGCUUGGGUCCAUGCUGUGAGAAUUUUUCAUUGAGAUGAUUGAAAUUGCUGCAGUGAGAAUGGAAAUUACUUAGGCUCCUUUCCUUUUAAAAGCUUCAUGCGAGAACUGUGUGGUGAGUCAAAUGUAGACUAAUGGUUAUGUAAAUGUCACUAAUUUUAGAUACAGAUCUGAAAGUGUGUUUCCUUUUAAGAUUUUAUUUUCUUCACUAUCAUGACUCAGUAUCACUUGCUAAUCUAAUUUUAUUAGCCUUGUUGUAUUUUACCAUUUAAAAUACACAUACCUUAUUCAAAUAGGUCUUCACACAGUCAAGUUAAUAUAUCAUAUAGAUGCUUUAAAAGGAGGAAAAAAGGCUUAUCUGCACUCAAAAUUUGUUUUGAUUUUAGCCUUCACAGAACUGCUACUGGUGCCGUUGCACAGGUACAAAUAUGAUGUAGAUGAAUAUGAAUCCAGGUUGUUAUAAUUCAUUAGUUUGCAUUAUUUGACCAUAUUUCAGAAUUUCAGACUGGUAAAAAUCACUCAUUUUCUACUACUGCUAUGAAUUUGAACUGACAAAAUUACUUAUAGCUAAAAUUUCAAAUUUAGUUCAGACCUGAGCAGUUCUCAAUAGCACAGCUAUGCAGAAUUAGCCUACAGCUUUUCAUAAAGAACAUUUGUGUGCACAUUUACCUACCACAUUUCUCUUAAUGUACAUGACCAAAAUGAGGUAGACUACUUACAAAAAAUACCCUAUCUGGCUCAAAGUUGGAUAGCUUUCUCUUUGAGUUUCUUUAGGGAGUUUCUUUUCUUUCUUUCAACCUAUGCAACUGCUAAAUAUUAAAGACCUGCACAUACACUUCAACCAUUUGAGGACUUAGAAACGCUUGGAAAGACCUUAAAGGUCUCUGCUUCUUUUCAUCAUGCUGCAGACUGGUGCUUGCAGCAGGCCCAUCCAUCCAGUUGCUCUUGUAGAUCUAGUAUUUUAAUGUACCCAGGAUUUUUCCCAGAGACUUCCAUGAGUAGAUGUGAAUCUAAAGAGCUGAUCAGAGACUUGAGAGCAUACAACAAAUAAGUCUAUUUACAUGGCUUUGUCAAAGUCCGGUGGCCAAACUGUUUGUUGCUGACUACUUCAUUGUGCUCGUGUUGGCCUUUGUGCAAAGAGUGAAACAGACUGUGCUUCCUUCUGGUUCACCAUGCAAACUCCUAUCACUGGCACAAGGGCAGGAAAUAGCAGGGAGCAGGAAGAAGCAGAAGGGCAAAGGUUGGAGCGCCUUGUUCGGUGGCCCUAGCAGCAUAGAAUAGUUCAGUGACAUGGUGAAAACACAGUUUGAGCAUUUGCAGAACCAGAGUUCAACUGAGGAACCAAAGUUCCUGUCUGGAUAAGAAAACUGCUUCAAGUGCUAAUGAAGGCCGAUUCAAUGAUUCAGUUCCUAAACCUUUGAAAAGGAUGUUACAUUUCUCACAUGGUUCUCAGGUGGCUUAAUAUUAGCAGUUAUAUUUUCCAGAUGUUUGCCUGUAUGGGUGGUGCCAGAGACUGGCUGGAUCAAACUGACUUCAUGUUGCAGCUCUGGGGUCCUAAGGACUGUGCCUGAUGUAAGAAAGAAAGGCUCCCUGUUUUCAGUUCAGGUGCUUGUUUUCUGCUAGGCUUAGGAGCUGUAUGGGAAAAAGAUGCUUAAUUCACAUAAAAAGGCAAGAAAAGAUAGGCCUGCUUGAAAAUAAACGAGACUAAUAGCUAUAUAUGAGUGAAGACAAGUAAUUUUAGGAGCAUGUCUAAAAGUGCAAUGUUAAAAGGCUGGAGGUGAGAACAGAUACAGGAAGAUCUGAUGAACUGGAAAAUCAGAAGGAUUGAAAUAAUUUGGGCAAAGAUCUGGGGUGUUGUUUGUUUAUUGAAAUUGGAAGAAGCGGCAGCCUGACAGAGGGGAUCUGACUUGAGGCAAAGAGAACAAGUCAGGUUUAAGCAAAGAGGCUUGCACUCCUCAGAUGAUUCCUAACAUUCACUGGAGUGCUCUUCACAUCCAGAAGGUAAUACAGACUGUUAAGUAGUAGCUUUUGCUGUCAUAUUGGAAAUCACUGUCAAUUUCACCUCCCUCAUUGUAUUCCACAGAGAAGAGGGCCAGCCUAUUAGUACCCUCAGCUACUUGAUGGAUUUUGGUCCUGAAAAGAAAUCUCAAAGUAAGAAUAGUUGAGGUUGUAAAGGAGAUCUCUAGUUCAAACAGGGUAGUUUCUUUAAGGCUAUGUCCAGUCAAUUUUGAAUCUAUUCAAGGAUGGAGACUCUGCAGCCUAUCUUGUUCAGCUAGAAUUUCAUGCACUUCAUUUCUUACCUGUAGCCUCUUGUCCUAUUUCUGGACAGAGAAGAGCCUGGCUAUGUCUUCUUUACUCUGUCGUACCCUCACCAGCAGGCAUUUAGAAACAUUGCUGAGAUCAUACAAACACAAGCCCUUUCUUCUCCAGGCUGGAGUCUCAGCUCACUCAGCCUUUCUUCAUGUGAAAGAUUCUUCAGUUCUCUCAUCGUCUUUGUGGAAGUCAAUAAAAUGCUUCAUCUAAUAAGGGGAAUUAGAAUUCAAAGGAGGAAAUGGUUUUUUUUGGGGGGGGGAACAAAGCACAAGCUAAUAACUGUAAAAAGAACAAGAAGAUCACAAAAUGAAACAUUAAGAAGUUAGAUAACUGUUGGUUGAAGAUUCUGCAAUCUUCAUUUGCCCCCUUGUGUCAGUAUACUAUGAAGCAAUCUUCGUGAUCACACAGAAUGUUUAAUCUAUUGAUAGGGUCAGUCUGUGGUGCUGAGCUGGGGAGGGUGCUUGUGGGCUGCCAGCAAGAAGCCUGAUGUUGCUGUAGGUGCUGCAGAAAUUAGUAAAAAAUUCUCUAGGCAAUGGAACAAAUGGCUGCAAGUAGAGAAAUCCAUGUCUUAGUGGUUAUGUCUAGUGAGAAUUGCUAAGAAUUGGAUGUGAUGUUUAUUUUUCUGCCUAUAUUCUUGUGUGAGGCUGGACAAAUAACCAGGCCAUUGUUUCUGAGUGCGUAUAUUGUGCUUUACUUUGGAGGUGUCUGAUUUAAGACACAUCUGAAAGAAACACUGGUGGUUCACAUUGGUAGCUGAGCUUCUUAGGAGCUGUCAUUUGAAUAAAAUACUCUGUGAAGUUAUGUCUGCUGACAGUCUCCUGUCUUCCUAAAGAGAACUUCAAACUGUUGCAUACUAUAAUAGUUUCCACACCUCUGUGUCACAUUUAAAGCAGGAGUAAUGGACACAUACCUUGAACGGCUGGUAGCUACUUUUGUUUAGUAGCUGUACUACAGUAAUGCAUUGCCUUAUGGAAUUUUCUAUGGCAUUUAUUAAUUCUGAUUUCAGAGGAAGAGGUGAGUACUGUGCAUCUUUUAAAGAUCAGAUCUGCAAUCAAUUUUCCUUGUUACCAGUUCAGGCUGGGAAGCAGAGUUUCUGUGCUGUUCAUUCACGGUCUGUUUCUGCAGUCCUGCAAACUCCAAAAUACUCUGAUUUUGUCCCGUCUUGUCACAGAUUCAUUUUGCAAAUAUAACUCAUUAUUAAA